CCUACGGGAGGCAGCAGUGGGGAAUAUUGCACAAUGGGGGAAACCCUGAUGCAGCGACGCCGCGUGAGUGAAGAAGUAAUUCGUUAUGUAAAGCUCUAUCAGCAGGGAAGAAAAUGACGGUACCUGAGUAAGAAGCCCCGGCUAACUACGUGCCAGCAGCCGCGGUAAUACGUAGGGGGCAAGCGUUAUCCGGAUUUACUGGGUGUAAAGGGAGCGUAGACGGCAGUGCAAGUCUGGAGUGAAAGGCGGGGGCUCAACCCCCGGACUGCUCUGGAAACUGUACGGCUGGAGUGCAGGAGAGGUAAGUGGAAUUCCUGGUGUAGCGGUGAAAUGCUUAGAUAUUAGGAGGAACACCAGUGGCGAAGGCGGCUUACUGGACUGUAACUGACGUUGAGGCUCGAAAGUGUGGGUAUCAAACAGGAUUAGAUACCCUUGUAGUC
RNAcentral lists this ribosomal RNA (440 nucleotides) under uncultured bacterium. Its description in RNAcentral is "partial 16S ribosomal RNA". It matches the Rfam family "Bacterial small subunit ribosomal RNA", at positions 338 to 795 of the family's 1533-position model. The record is from RNAcentral.